GAAAAUGUUUGUGGUUCGAAAAAGCAGAGUGAUUCUGAAAACAAAACACAACAAAAAAAUAGUAAGUUUUUUGUGCUUGUAGAAUAAAGUGGUGAAUCAAUUUAAAAAAGAACUUUGGCAGCCUAUCAAGGAAUCAAGACUGCAUCUUCAUUUACAUUCACCUAAUAUAUAAAACCCACAGGUUAUUCUGCAUGUUCAGAUGAGCCAAAUCUUGGCACUAACCCCUUUAAUGAGCAUUGUAAGUAACAGUGAAAUAUAUCUGAUUUGCUUCCCGGUCUCCAGUAGAAUUAAUAAACAGUGAGAAAGUCAAGAUGAAGACAAUAUAAACAUAACCCCC
RNAcentral lists this long non-coding RNA (337 nucleotides) under Bos taurus (domestic cattle). RNAcentral's name for it is "long non-coding RNA NONBTAT008338". Lineage: Eukaryota; Metazoa; Chordata; Mammalia; Artiodactyla; Bovidae. The record is from RNAcentral.